GCAUGUAUGGCUGAGUGGUCAAAAGCAAUGGACUCAUAAUCCAUCUCCAAUAGGAUUCACAGGUUCAAACCCUGUUACAUGCA
This 83-nucleotide transfer RNA is filed under the name Lotharella oceanica. Its description in RNAcentral is "tRNA-Met". It matches the Rfam family "tRNA". From Rfam's summary of the family: Transfer RNA (tRNA) molecules are approximately 80 nucleotides in length. Their secondary structure includes four short double-helical elements and three loops (D, anti-codon, and T loops). The record is from RNAcentral. Lineage: Eukaryota; Cercozoa; Chlorarachniophyceae.